RNAcentral lists this transfer RNA (66 nucleotides) under Calomera brevipilosa. Its description in RNAcentral is "tRNA-Pro". The record is from RNAcentral. Lineage: Eukaryota; Metazoa; Arthropoda; Insecta; Coleoptera; Carabidae.
CAGGGGAUAGUUUAAUUAAAAUAUUAAUUUUGGAGAUUAAUGAUAAAAGUUAUAUUUUUCCUCUGA